GAUGAACGCUGGCGGCGUGCCUAAUACAUGCAAGUCGAGCGAACGGACGAGAAGCUUGCUUCUCUGAUGUUAGCGGCGGACGGGUGAGUAACACGUGGAUAACCUACCUAUAAGACUGGGAUAACUUCGGGAAACCGUAGCUAAUACCGGAUAAUAUUUUGAACCGCAUGGUUCAAAAGUGAAAGACGGUCUUGCUGUCACUUAUAGAUGGAUCCGCGCUGCAUUAGCUAGUUGGUAAGGUAACGGCUUACCAAGGCAACGAUGCAUAGCCGACCUGAGAGGGGGCUGGGCCACACGGGAACUGAGACACGGCCCUGACUCCUAGGGGAGGCAGCAGUGGGGAAUCUUCCGAAAUGGGCGAAGGCCGGACGGAGCAACGCCGCGUGAGUGAUGAAGGUCUUCGGAUCGAAAAACUCUUUUAUUGGGAAAAAACAUAUGUGUAAUUAACUGUGCACAUCUUGACGGUCCCUAAUAAGAAAGCCACGGCUAACUACGUG
This 497-nucleotide ribosomal RNA is filed under the name uncultured bacterium. Its description in RNAcentral is "partial 16S ribosomal RNA". It matches the Rfam family "Bacterial small subunit ribosomal RNA", at positions 28 to 507 of the family's 1533-position model. The record is from RNAcentral.